RNAcentral lists this ribosomal RNA (497 nucleotides) under uncultured bacterium. RNAcentral's name for it is "partial 16S ribosomal RNA". It matches the Rfam family "Bacterial small subunit ribosomal RNA", at positions 29 to 507 of the family's 1533-position model. The record is from RNAcentral.
AAUGAACGCUGGCGGCAUGCCUAAUACAUGCAAGUCGAACGAACGCACGGGAAGCUUUCGCUUCUGAUGGUGGCGGGUGACGGAUGAGUAACACGUGGAUAGCCUACCUCUAAGACUGGGGUGAUUUCGUGGAACCAUAUCUAAUACCACAUAAUAUUUUGAACCGGAUGGAGCAAGAGUUAAAUACGGUCUUGGUGUCAGUUAUAGCUGAAUCCGAGCUACAUUAGAUACUGGUUAAGGUAACGGCUUACCAAGGCCAGGAUGCAUACCCGACAUGAGAGGGUGAUCGGACACACUGGAACUGAGAAACGGUCCAGACUCCUACGGGAGGAAGCAGUAGGGAAUCUUACGCAAUGGGCGAAAGCCUGAUGGAGCAACACCGCGUGAGUGAUGAAGGUCUUCGGAUGGUAAAGCUCUGUUGUUAGGAAAGAAAAUAAGCGCAUUUACCCGUGCAUAUCUUGACGGUACCUAAAGAAUAAGCUACGGCUAACUCCGUG